RNAcentral lists this ribosomal RNA (889 nucleotides) under Trichoderma sp. 4 PC-2011. RNAcentral describes it as "LSU rRNA". It matches the Rfam family "Eukaryotic large subunit ribosomal RNA", at positions 39 to 958 of the family's 3401-position model. The record is from RNAcentral. Lineage: Eukaryota; Fungi; Ascomycota; Sordariomycetes; Hypocreales; Hypocreaceae.
CAUAUCAAUAAGCGGAGGAAAAGAAACCAACAGGGAUUGCCCCAGUAACGGCGAGUGAAGCGGCAACAGCUCAAAUUUGAAAUCUGGCCCCUAGGGUCCGAGUUGUAAUUUGUAGAGGAUGCUUUUGGUGAGGUGCCGCCCGAGUUCCCUGGAACGGGACGCCACAGAGGGUGAGAGCCCCGUCUGGCUGGCCGCCGAGCCUCUGUAAAGCUCCUUCGACGAGUCGAGUAGUUUGGGAAUGCUGCUCAAAAUGGGAGGUAUAUGUCUUCUAAAGCUAAAUAUUGGCCAGAGACCGAUAGCGCACAAGUAGAGUGAUCGAAAGAUGAAAAGCACCUUGAAAAGAGGGUUAAAUAGUACGUGAAAUUGUUGAAAGGGAAGCGCUUGUGACCAGACUUGGGCGCGGCGGAUCAUCCGGGGUUCUCUCCGGUGCACUUCGCCGCGUCUGGGCCAGCAUCAGUUCGUCGCGGGGGAAAAAGGCUUCGGGAACGUGGCUCCUCCGGGAGUGUUAUAGCCCGUCGCAUAAUACCCUGCGGUGGACUGAGGACCGCGCAUCUGCAAGGAUGCUGGCGUAAUGGUCACCAGCGACCCGUCUUGAAACACGGACCAAGGAGUCGUCUUCGUAUGCGAGUGUUCGGGUGUCAAACCCCUACGCGUAAUGAAAGUGAACGCAGGUGAGAGCUUCGGCGCAUCAUCGACCGAUCCUGAUGUUCUCGGAUGGAUUUGAGUAAGAGCAUACGGGGCCGGACCCGAAAGAAGGUGAACUAUGCCUGUAUAGGGUGAAGCCAGAGGAAACUCUGGUGGAGGCUCGCAGCGGUUCUGACGUGCAAAUCGAUCGUCAAAUAUGGGCAUGGGGGCGAAAGACUAAUCGAACCUUCUAGUAGCUGGUUUC